UAUAACUUUGGAAUCAGUCAUGAUUUUUACAUAAUUCUUUCACUGCUUGAUAUAUAUAGCUGCUUGUUUUGCAUUUAUCUAGAGUUUUAUUUUUACUUAUUAUUUCUUCAAGAGAUUUUAUUGCUGUUUGUUGUUAAGUCUGAUUUUAUAGUUGUAGGAUGAUGUUUCAUUAGUUGUGGAGUUUGUAAGUCUUCAGAGGGAAUUUCAAAAGAUUCUACUGCUCUGUGGGGGUGUUUGCAGUUUACACAUUCUAAUUUAGUACAUGGUGUAGGGUCAUGGAUUGUUGACGAACAAAUUUAACAUGUUUCAUUACCACUACAAUAUUUUUUGGUGUGGCCCAAUUUAAAACACUUUUUACAUUGAAUGGGAGUAGGAAUGUACGGGUCGACUUUGCAAUUUAGAAAGACUAUUUUUAUUUCAUUUGGUAAUCUAUAUUGGUCAAAAUGUAAAAUAUGUAAUGGAGUGUUUGUUACUUUGCCUUCAAUAAAUUUUGUGAUCUUCAUGCAAUCGA
Molecule: long non-coding RNA, 511 nt
Organism: Lucilia cuprina (Australian sheep blowfly)
Lineage: Eukaryota; Metazoa; Arthropoda; Insecta; Diptera; Calliphoridae
Exons: 3
Source: RefSeq, a predicted model, not a curated record